AUUGAACGCUGGCGGAAUGCUUUACACAUGCAGGUCGAGCGGCAGCGCGGGGGCAACCCUGGCGGCGAGCGGCGAACGGGUGAGUAACACAUCGGAACGUACCCAGUUGUGGGGGAUAGCCCGGCGAAAGCCGGAUUAAUACAGCACACGACCUGAGGGUGAAAGGGGGGGAGCGCAAGACACUUCGCAGUAGCAGCGGCCGAUGGCGGAUUAGCUAGUUGGGGAGGGAAAGGCUUACCAAGGCGACGAUCCGUAGCCGGUCUGAGAGGACGACCAGCCACAAUGGAACUGGGACACGGUCCAGACUCCUACGGGAGGCAGCAGUGGGGAAUUUUGGAAAAUGGGGGCAACCCUGAUCCAGCCAUUCCGCGUGAGUGAAGAAGGCCUUCGGGUUGUAAAGCUCUUUCGGCAGGAACGAAACGGUGGAGGCUAAUACCUUUCAUCAAUGACGGUACCUGAAGAAGAAGCACCGGCUAACUACGUGCCAGCCGCCGCAGUAA
RNAcentral lists this ribosomal RNA (500 nucleotides) under uncultured bacterium. Its description in RNAcentral is "partial 16S ribosomal RNA". It matches the Rfam family "Bacterial small subunit ribosomal RNA", at positions 29 to 523 of the family's 1533-position model. The record is from RNAcentral.